RNAcentral lists this small nucleolar RNA (127 nucleotides) under Castor canadensis (American beaver). Its description in RNAcentral is "Small nucleolar RNA SNORA51 (ENSCCNG00000018970.1)". It matches the Rfam family "Small nucleolar RNA SNORA51". From Rfam's summary of the family: ACA51 is a member of the H/ACA class of snoRNA that guide the sites of modification of uridines to pseudouridines. Lineage: Eukaryota; Metazoa; Chordata; Mammalia; Rodentia; Castoridae. The record is from Rfam by way of RNAcentral.
AGCCUCUGGUGCUGAGCACGGAUGUGCUCGCAGUCACCGUAUGGAAAGAGGAGGGACAGCAAGCUUGUCCACAUACACCUCAGCCCAGGCCCUGUGCCUGGCCUCAAUUGCGAAUGGGAAGACAUGG